This 132-nucleotide small RNA is filed under the name Salmonella enterica subsp. enterica serovar Oranienburg. Its description in RNAcentral is "RtT sRNA". It matches the Rfam family "RtT RNA". Rfam says of the family: This family represents a bacterial cis-regulatory element known as RtT RNA. The record is from RNAcentral. RNAcentral also lists the same sequence under 1 other name. Lineage: Bacteria; Pseudomonadati; Pseudomonadota; Gammaproteobacteria; Enterobacterales; Enterobacteriaceae.
GUUUGCACUUGUCGGGGAAGGGUGAGAACCUUCGAUUAAGGUUCGACUCGAGCGAAAGCGAGAGAACGUUGCCAACGGCAACGGCCCGUAGGUUGAGGAACGAAGCGACGAAUAAUCCUUCCCCCACCACCA